CUGAGAGAGAGGGAGAUGCCUAACAGACUUAAUGAUGGUGGGCAGGAGCCAUACCGAAAAUUUCUUAGAGAAACGGAUGUCUAAGCUGUGACAUGAAUGCUGAAUCGAUAUUGGAAGGGAGCAAAGGGCUUCUUGUGAGCCUCUCACAUGCAGGCAUGGAGGAGAUGACAGCAGAGUUGACAGCCUGGUGCUCCUGAGCCUGGGAUCCAGUUUGGGAGACAGAAUGGUGAG
Molecule: long non-coding RNA, 231 nt
Organism: Bubalus bubalis (water buffalo)
Lineage: Eukaryota; Metazoa; Chordata; Mammalia; Artiodactyla; Bovidae
Exons: 2
Source: RefSeq, a predicted model, not a curated record